Molecule: transfer RNA, 71 nt
Organism: Loxodonta africana (African savanna elephant)
Lineage: Eukaryota; Metazoa; Chordata; Mammalia; Proboscidea; Elephantidae
Rfam family: tRNA
About the family: Transfer RNA (tRNA) molecules are approximately 80 nucleotides in length. Their secondary structure includes four short double-helical elements and three loops (D, anti-codon, and T loops).
Source: Rfam
ACAGUGGUGGUUCACUGGUAAAAUUCUUGCCUUCCAUGUGGGACACCCAGGUUCAAUUCCUGGCCAGUGCA